AUAUGAACGACUUUUUCCAACUUUCUUUCCUCUAAAACGACGACAAGACAGGAACAUUGUUAACCUACUAAUAUCCGAGAUUUCAACUCAUCAUCUUCCAUUAUUAAUCUGGUUUGGCAAGCAAAUCAACAUUGGUCUAAGUCUGUCCAAAGGGGAAAUCGAAUGAGGUGCGUUGUUUUGUUGACAGAAGAUAGAGAGCACAGGUGAGCAUAUACCCAAUGAAAGACUAUCGUGUAUGAGCAGUUUUGUGCUCUCUGUUCUUCUGUCGACACAAUCUUAUUCUCUCUGCCAAUCUUAUCUUCUCAAUUCAAACUAACACCACUUGUUCAUGAGGUGGAUGAGGUUUUGGGUACGUUGUUUUGUUGUCAGAAGAUAGAGAGCACAGCUGAGCAUAUACCCAAUGAAAGUCUAUUGUGUAUGAACAGUUUUGUGCUCUCUGUUUUUCUGUCGACACAUUCUUCUCUGCCAAUCUUUUCUUCUCAAUACAAACUAAAUCACAUAAAAAUGUUAAGCCACUUGCUCUUCAGGUAACACCACUCAUCUUCUCUUUAAUGAUAUAUAUAUAAUGUAUAUGAAAUGAGAUUUUUUCUUUCUUUUUUUCUGAUAUAUUCUACAGACGAUUGACAAUUUUUCAAAGGUUGAAUGAAGCUGGCUAAUUAAGCCUUAUUUCA
Long non-coding RNA from Humulus lupulus (European hop), 671 nucleotides. RefSeq lists it as uncharacterized. The record is from RefSeq and is a predicted model, not a curated record. NCBI's taxonomy places the organism in Eukaryota, Viridiplantae, Streptophyta, Magnoliopsida, Rosales, Cannabaceae. The transcript is spliced from 3 exons.